AGGAUGGUGCCCACAUGAUGCCUGUGACAAGCUGCCCGUGGUCUUGGGGAUGGUUUCUGUCGACUAAAUUUCCGUACAUAAUCACGCCUGGGAUGAGUGGACAGGACUCCCGAGAAUGGCCCCACAAGCUGUUCAGAAGGUAGUGAAAGAACACAGGACACUCAGGAAGCCAUUCAGUUUUCCAAGACAGUUGGGAAUCUUCUCCAAGAUGAGUAUUUUACCAAGUAAAGAGAGUAACAAGGGAGUCAGAUAUGCAAAAACAUUAAGACCACAUACACGCCAAA
This 284-nucleotide long non-coding RNA is filed under the name Rattus norvegicus (Norway rat). Its description in RNAcentral is "long non-coding RNA NONRATT012251". Lineage: Eukaryota; Metazoa; Chordata; Mammalia; Rodentia; Muridae. The record is from RNAcentral.